RNAcentral lists this ribosomal RNA (464 nucleotides) under uncultured bacterium. Its description in RNAcentral is "partial 16S ribosomal RNA". It matches the Rfam family "Bacterial small subunit ribosomal RNA", at positions 28 to 506 of the family's 1533-position model. The record is from RNAcentral.
GAUGAACGCUGGCGGCGUGCUUAACACAUGCAAGUCGAACGGAAAGGCUCCUGCUUGCAGGGGUACUCGAGUGGCGAACGGGUGAGUAACACGUGGGUGAUCUGCCCUGCACUUCGGGAUAAGCCUGGGAAACUGGGUCUAAUACCGGAUAGGACGAUGGUUUGGAUGCCAUUGUGGAAAGUGUUUCGGUGUGGGAUGAGCUCGCGGCCUAUCAGCUUGUUGGUGGGGUAAUGGCCUACCAAGGCGUCGACGGGUAGCCGGCCUGAGAGGGUGUACGGCCACAUUGGGACUGAGAUACGGCCCAGACUCCUACGGGAGGCAGCAGUGGGGAAUAUUGCACAAUGGGCGCAAGCCUGAUGCAGCGACGCCGCGUGGGGGAUGACGGCAUUCGGGUUGUAAACUCAUUUCGCUAGGGACGAAGCGCAAGUGACGGUACCUGGAGAAGAAGCACCGGCUAAAUACGU